Molecule: long non-coding RNA, 1035 nt
Organism: Oncorhynchus tshawytscha (Chinook salmon)
Lineage: Eukaryota; Metazoa; Chordata; Actinopteri; Salmoniformes; Salmonidae
Source: Ensembl
UGCUAGUGUCCUUGCCCGCUCAACCCAGCCUGACAGCCUCAGCGCCUCACAUGGCCCUCUGGCUCAUACAUAUGGAGGAGGAUAGGGAGAGGAGAGGAAUAACAACCACAGAAACCCUCAAUCCCUCAGUUCUUCUUCCUGAUAAUAGGCUCGACUGUCUGACCAAGGGACCCCACAUCAGUUGGAACCGAAAGAACAACCCAGACCCUUGGAACACAUACGGUCCACACUAUCAGUACAAGUUGGUGGCCGUCAAUAUGGACUACAAGGCUCUGAAGAAGGAGGGCCCUGACUUCUAAAGGUCCUUCAGGCAACUCCAGGAGCACCAAGUUUGGCAGGACCUCCUGUCAUCCUAGUGGCAGGGUCGGGGCAGCCUGAGCCUCGGUCGGGUCCUCUGUCUGUCCCCUCUGCUGUCUCUUCAGAAUGCACACCAUUUCAUAUGAACUGUCUUUUCCGUGCACUAACCUACAGUUAUAGAAGCAAUUGUCUGCAUGUGCACAGCAAAUAUUGUUAUUAUAACCUACCUGUCUCUUCAGACACCACCCUACAGUAUAAAUCUCUUCAUGCAUAAAAACCCUAAAGAGAUGUCAUGUAACAGGCUCUUUCACUUUCACAACCCUACAGUUAUUGUAACCUGUCUCUCUUCACGAUGCACAACAGCACUGUUAUAGAUCUGUCUCUUUAUUUUCAUGCACAGAAACCCUAAGGUGAUGUAUCCUUCUUCAUGCACAGCAACCCUAAAGUGAUGUAUCCUUCUUCAUGCACAGCAACCCUAAAGUGAUCUAUCCUUCUUCAUGCACAGCAACCCUAAAGUGAUGUAUCCUUCUUCAUGCACAGCAACCCUAAAGUGAUCUAUCCUUCUUCAUGCACAGCAACCCUAAAGUGAUGUAUCCUUCUUCAUGCACUGCAACCCUAAAGUGAUGUAUCCUUCUUCAUGCACAGCAACCCUAAAGUGAUGUAUCCUUCUUCAUGCACAACCCUGAUGUUACAUAACUGUUUCUUAACGCCAGCUUGAAAACAACACUAUUAAACAUC